GGCCGGUGCGCAUGUCCGCCUGACGGAAAGCCUUAACGCCUCCUGCAACCUCCACCUUGAACUUUCGGGUUCAAGGGCUAAGCCGACAGCGGCACGUCGGGGAGUCU
RNAcentral lists this non-coding RNA (107 nucleotides) under Pseudomonadales bacterium RIFCSPLOWO2_02_FULL_63_210. RNAcentral describes it as "partial 6S RNA". It matches the Rfam family "6S / SsrS RNA", at positions 75 to 187 of the family's 187-position model. From Rfam's summary of the family: E. coli 6S RNA was the first non coding RNA to be sequenced, but its function was unknown until recently. It consists of 184 nucleotides that fold into an extended hairpin structure with a large single-stranded internal bulge. The record is from RNAcentral. Lineage: Bacteria; Pseudomonadati; Pseudomonadota; Gammaproteobacteria; Pseudomonadales.